Peromyscus maniculatus bairdii (prairie deer mouse) is the source of this 961-nucleotide non-coding RNA. The record is from RefSeq and is a predicted model, not a curated record. NCBI's taxonomy places the organism in Eukaryota, Metazoa, Chordata, Mammalia, Rodentia, Cricetidae.
GUCUAGGGAGGGAGGGUGGUUGGUGCUAGAGGGCAGUGCCAGCCUCCCUGGGCUCACCUGGAGAAGCAGGGGCUUACAGUGAGCCUCCCUUGUGGCAUUUUAACUCACUUGAAGCCACGUGGCUAAAGAAUUCGUGUCGUUGCAGGAGAUAGGAUGUGGGUGCUUACUGCUCCUUCCUGCCCCAAGAGCUUGUUUUAGUCUUUUUUUUUUCUCUUUUUCUCGCUGCCCCCACCUUCCUCUCGUAACCCCUUAAGCCCAGAAGUUCUGGUUUUCUACCUCUUUCCCCUAUCACAAAUUGAAGUGCACUUUAUGACUAAAACUUUCCCUCAAAUUCUUUUAUUGCUGCCCGAAAUUGAUUUGGUGAAGGAGGUCUAGAUGCUUUUUUAAGCGGACCAGAAUUUUAUUUUGUAGGUGCCUGUCGAAGAAAUAAGAGGUCUAUCCACGAUGCUGUGUGCAUCAAUAGGGAGUAAUCUUCCACUUAUUAAGACAUGCUACAAACUGUUUUAGGAGCAUGUACUUGUAAACUAGAAUAAGAAGAAGCCAAUGGGGAAAAGACACAGUAGGGUGAUGAAGACAGAAAGAAAGGAAAACCCCUACAAGCACCAAGAGACAGGAAGCAAGCGGCUUGUUCCCAGGAACUGGCUCUUCCUGAAGGAGCAUCCCAUAGCAUCAGGGCCACUUCCAUCACCUUACCUGCUAUACAACUCUAAAUGAAGUCAGAAUGUCCAGCACUGCUAUACUCUUGACUUGAAAAUGUUCUUAGAGAAUAAAAGAAGACAGAACCAAGUCAUCAUCCAACCACUGUGGACAGUUGUUUAAUCAGUAGGUUGUCCUGCUUCAAGAAGGCACAUCUUAAGAUAAAGUAAAUUCACAAGAGCUAAGAAUCGGCUGUUUAAUGUUGGGAAGGGGUGGACACCAAAGCCACUGUGAUGGAGUGAAUAAAAUAUGCUCUCUAGCCAGA